Molecule: long non-coding RNA, 711 nt
Organism: Rana temporaria (common frog)
Lineage: Eukaryota; Metazoa; Chordata; Amphibia; Anura; Ranidae
Exons: 5
Source: RefSeq, a predicted model, not a curated record
CUGUGUAUGUGUGACUGUUUUGGUGCUGCUGGCUGGCAAUCGCUCUCUUUUAGUGCUCUGUGUUCCUCCCCUCUGCACUCAUACGUUUCCUUCCUUUUUUCCUUUUUCUCCAGAGUGCGGCUCUGCUGAUUGGCCGGUGUCAUCAUAUGACACGGCUGCUUCAGCGCUAAGGAGUGUGGGAAUUGUAGGCAUCUCAGCGACCAUGUGACCUCUGAGAUCCAAUCGCGAUGCACCCGCCUCCCCAACAGGCUAUAUAUAGCAUGAUAUGAUCAUUAUCUGUCUGCUACCAACAGGGUACUGACAGAUGUCUUUAUUCCUCUUAAAGAUAGGAGAUUAUCUGUGGACUUUUCAGCUGCAAUUGACUGGUCCUUGAUUUUUGCUGCAAACGACUAUCCUUUGACUUUCUAUCACCAGCUGAUGUUUGCUUGCACUCAGACUGUUCAUCUAGUUAAAUACUCCAUAUGAAUUGAGGCUCUUCAGUGCCCAUGUUAUUGUCUUACUUAAUUCCCCUGUAUUCACCUUGAUUUUAUUACGCUUCAAGUCCUGUCAGUUGAACUUGGAUUUCAAUAUCCACCCUGAGGGGGUUUUUCCUUGACUGGCUGUGCAUGAAGCUAGGAGUAAUCUAGAGAGACGAUCUUGUCCUAAUUCCCCUGAAGAAGCCAAGAGGCGAAACUAGUAGGGUUGACCUGAUCGAAAAAAUUAUUUCUAGAU